RNAcentral lists this unclassified non-coding RNA (253 nucleotides) under uncultured Chitinophagaceae bacterium. Its description in RNAcentral is "contains 16S-23S intergenic spacer region". It matches the Rfam family "Bacterial small subunit ribosomal RNA", at positions 524 to 776 of the family's 1533-position model. The record is from RNAcentral. Lineage: Bacteria; Pseudomonadati; Bacteroidota; Chitinophagia; Chitinophagales; Chitinophagaceae.
UACGGAGGGUGCAAGCGUUGUCCGGAUUUAUUGGGUUUAAAGGGUGCGUAGGUGGGAAUGAAAGUCAGUGAUGAAAUCUCCGGGCUUAACUCGGAAACUGCCAUUGAUACUUUGUUUCUUGAAUCUUCUGGAGGUCAGCGGAAUAUGUCAUGUAGCGGUGAAAUGCUUAGAUAUGACACAGAGCACCGAUUGCGAAGGCAGCUGACUACGGGAGCAUUGACACUGAGGCACGAAAGCGUGGGGAUCAAACAGG